This 442-nucleotide long non-coding RNA is filed under the name Gallus gallus (chicken). RNAcentral describes it as "lncRNA (ENSGALG00010014337.1)". Lineage: Eukaryota; Metazoa; Chordata; Aves; Galliformes; Phasianidae. The record is from RNAcentral.
GGGCACCUGGAGGCACGCAUCAUACAGAAGACAUAUGUCCUACAGCUGAGCCACAUGCUGCCAUCUAACUGGAAAGCAGGGCUGGUGCUCAGUCCUACAAAGCCAGGAACAGCUCAGGCAUGUCUGAAGAAGACAGAGGGAGAAUAGCAAUGCAAGUGACAUGGAAACCCAGACAGACACAGACAGAGAUCAAAGAGAGGAGCAGCUGGAUACCUGACACAAGCCAACACUUCUGAGCAGGGCAGUUUCUGAUCUUCUGAGUCAAUACGCCAGGGGAAAUGAGAGCUGAACAGUGACAAAGGAAGGAACUUCUCUAACCUCCCUGAAACAUCCCUCCCUCAUCCCUCAUUCAUAUCUCACUGAUCAAGGCCUCUGAACCAUAAAUCACCAUGCACCAGACUAAAGGUUUUCCUGCUCUGGAAAUGCUGAUGCCUCUGUUCAG